GAGGGUAUAGCUCAGUGGUACAGCACAUGCGCAGCAUGCAUGAGGUCCUGGGUUCAAUCCCCAGUACCGCCA
Molecule: transfer RNA, 72 nt
Filed under: Camelus bactrianus (Bactrian camel)
Lineage: Eukaryota; Metazoa; Chordata; Mammalia; Artiodactyla; Camelidae
Also listed under: 2 other names
Rfam family: tRNA
About the family: Transfer RNA (tRNA) molecules are approximately 80 nucleotides in length. Their secondary structure includes four short double-helical elements and three loops (D, anti-codon, and T loops).
Source: Rfam by way of RNAcentral